Photinus pyralis (common eastern firefly) is the source of this 629-nucleotide long non-coding RNA. RefSeq lists it as uncharacterized. Lineage: Eukaryota; Metazoa; Arthropoda; Insecta; Coleoptera; Lampyridae. The record is from RefSeq and is a predicted model, not a curated record. The transcript has 3 exons.
CGGUUUCGUACUACUAAAGGAAUGGAAACUAACUGACGAUAUUAACGAUUUUUUGUAUACUUCCGUACUUGCGAUUGCCUGGCAGCGUGUUUUCAUCAUGCGAAUCCAAAGAUCAAGAUUAGCUAAGCUGCUGAUACUGCUUGAAAAAUUUCCUAUGGAUGAUAAAGAAGUGAAAUCCCAUUUGAAUGCAAUUUUAACGAAAGUGGUUACCAUCUUUGUUACAUUACCACCUAUCGCAGUUGUUAGUGGGGUAGUUGCAUGGUACACCACCUAUGGAGAGGGCACGUUACCAUUCGGUUCUAUGGCAAGUUGGGCAAUGGAGUACACUACAAACAUGUGUCUAGUUAUUCAAGUUAUGACAUAUACAUUUCUGGGACAUGAGUUUUUAAUGUGGGACGGAACCAAAUGAACCAUUCUGUUACAACUGAGUGGAAAUUUCAAAUAUUUGAACAGAAACGCCAGAAAUUGUCUUGAGAAUGCGAGAAUUGACUGUGAACAGUCAUCGAAUUCCACUUUGAAUAUUUCAUGGUGCCAUAUGCAAAAGCUUUUAAAAUACAUAACCGUAAGGCACAAUUACCUGUCUUUAGCUGCCAAGGAAGUAGAAUUGGUAUUUAAUAAAACUGUUUUAA